UGUUAUGGCGGCCGUGCGCGGGAGAUCCUCGGAUCUGCUGGGUGUCCUAACAGGCCCGGUCUUGCACUCCGCGUGCGGCUGCUACCCUG
This 89-nucleotide non-coding RNA is filed under the name Pseudomonas chlororaphis. The record is from RNAcentral. Lineage: Bacteria; Pseudomonadati; Pseudomonadota; Gammaproteobacteria; Pseudomonadales; Pseudomonadaceae.